This 2768-nucleotide long non-coding RNA is filed under the name Homo sapiens (human). Its description in RNAcentral is "HSALNT0160688". The record is from RNAcentral. Lineage: Eukaryota; Metazoa; Chordata; Mammalia; Primates; Hominidae.
AGGCAAGUCACAAUAGGCUCUUCAAACACCUUUCUGACAUAACUAAGGCAAUCAGCCCAUUGCGCCAUAACCAGAAGACAAUAUCUAAUGGCAAUUGCCAUGUAUAGUGUGAAGGCCUUUCCUUGUGGAUUCAGAAUGGAGCAUGGACCACAAUUCUCAGAAGCGACUUCUAGAGAGGGUUUGCGUCUUGCACUUCAUGGCCCAACUCCCAUGCAUACAGCUUUUCAUCUCACUGAGCAUGUCCUGGAGCAGACGAGCAUUCCUCACCUCUUGGUUUCAGAAGAAGGAGCUUCUUGGGGAAUAAUUCCAGGUUCUUUUUUUGCAUCUAUAAUCUAAUCAAGAAUCUGUAGGUCCUACCAUCCUAGGAUAAAUGAGGAGAAGAAAACAAGGAUGCAAGACCCAACAAUAAAAAUAUUAGAAUUUUAAAAAUACUAUACUAGAGUUUGCUUUUAAAUACCUAGUAAAGCUACAAUAAGUCAUGAAAUUGAUGAAUGGAAAGUUAUAUAAUUUCAGCUGUAUAUUAGUUGCUUUUUGCUGCUAUAACAAAUCACCACAAACUUUGUGACUUAAGACAGAUGUAGCCAGGCACGGUGGCUCAUGCCUGUAAUCCCAGCACUUUAGAAGGCUGAGGCAGGCGGAUCACCUGAGGUCAGGCAUUCAAGACCAGCCUGGCCAAGAUGAUGAAACCUCAUCUCUACUAUAAAUACAAAAAUUAGCUGGGCAUGGUGGCACCUAUAAUUCCAGCUACUCGGGCGGCUAAGGCAGGAGAAUCAGUGAGUCGAGAUCACACCACUGCACUCCAGCCUGGGCAACAGAGCAAGACUCCAUCUCAAAAAAGGAAAAAACAAAACAAGACGGAUAUAUUACCUUACAGUUCUUGAAGUUAGAAGUCCAACACAGGUUGCACUGGACUAAAAUCAGGGCAUCAGCUGGGCUGCAUUCCUUUCUGGAGGUUCUAGGGGGAAAUCUAUUUCUUUGUCUUUUAGCUCCUUGCAGCUGCUCCAUUCCUUUGUUUAUGGCCUAUUCUCCAUUUUCAAAGCCAGCAAAGUUGCAUCUUUUUAACUUUUCUUCUGCAGGAAUAUCGCCUUCCAACUAUGGCAAGAAAAGGUUGUCUGAUUUUGAAGAUUUGUGUGAUUCAUUUAGGCCCACUAAAAUAAUCCAAGAUAAUCUUCCCAUCUCAAGAUUCUUAAUUUAAUCACAUCUGCAAAGUUCCUUACAAAAGCAACAUAUUCACAAAUUGCAGGGAUUAGGACGUGGACAUCUUUGGGGGAUCCAUAUUCUGCCUAUCACAAGCUAUUUCCAGACUCCAAGUAGUAAAGAGAGUUGAAAUUCAAAAGCUCAUCAGUCACCUUUUUUCACUGUCAUUCCUUUUAGCAUUGAGUUUUACCUUAGGAAAUAGGACAGAUGUUUUCAAUACCUAAAACCUUAAACAUAGAACAAUUUUACAAAUGUCAUGAAACCAGAAUGAAUCUCUUGGCUGAAAGUUUUUCAAUUUUCAAAGAACUAAUUUUAAUUUUACUAGUAAAUUUGAAAUGGAUCCAGCUUGCCUGCUGUACUUUUAUAUGAGACACUAAAUCACGGUUCUUUGGAAACGGCAACAUUGAAAGCAUAAACUGUCAUUUUCCCAGAAUGUGUGGAAGGGCGGAUGUGGUUGAUAUAAUGUGUUUCUUAACACAUCUUUUCACCCUGAGCUCACUCCCACCAUGUGUUUAUAUGCACUGCAGGGCAUACAGCAGCCUUGGUCGGUGCACGUGUUCGCAAGUAGUUUCGCCUAUUUCUCAAGCAUAUAUUCCUACGGGUGCCUAGCAAAUGCCUUAGCUGAGGACAAGGUGUCCAAGGAAUAAGUACUUGCUGCUGUUUUCCAACACACACCACAAUUUCGGCUGAUUCUCAGCAAAGGGCAUUUCUUCUACUCUGGGAUCUGUGAAUUUGCUCAUGGUUUUUAACAACCUGCAGCCCGGCUCAAGUCAUAGUCUGGAUCCCAAUUUGAAAUUAGCUACAUUUUAUUAGUAAGUGUCCAGAAAUGGCUUGGCGGGUCAUUUUCUGUCUUGUAAAAUGUGGUUCUUAUUGGCAGUAACAUGCUUUUUGGGCACUGACUCAUGUUCUCUCUUCAAGCAAAUGAUUCCUUCAGGAGGCACACGCUAUAUCUAGGUUUGCUGUGUGCAACACAUCAGAUCCUGGCCAUAGGGUGACUUAGCAAAGGUACAGGCAGUUUAUUGCACACCUAUGUACACUUCAGGUCCCGUGCUAAGAGUUUUAAGGGCAUUAUCUCAUUUAACUUUACAAAACCCUGUAAGAUAGAAUCUGUUAAUCAUCCCAUUUUCAGACGAUGAAAGCAAGAUUUAAAAUGACUUGCACAACCUCAUGAAACCGACAUGCUUGGGCUGGACUAUAUUGAGACUAGGUGAGGUGAGUGAGCACUCAGUUUGGUGCAAAAUGUAAAGGAAAGCCAAAAGGCUCAGUAAGCAAGGUAAAGGAUAUUUCAGUGCAAUUUUUUAAAAAUGCAAAAUUAGUGAAAACAUUCCAUAGUAAAAUAUUAAAAUGUGAAAAAAAGACAGACUCUGACCUUAUACUGGGACUCAGCCUUAAUCACCUGACUCUAAUCCUGGCCCUGCUGAAUCCUGUCCCUUCCCUGGCUGGAAUUUGAACCCAAGGCUGGCUGAGGCUGAAGCCCAUGUUUGUACCCACUACUCUAUAGGAUGCAUCUGCCUCCUCUGCCAGCAGGGCAGCUGGGAGGUACUUAAAAUGCUUUUCAACAAUGAUGACAG